UGCGAUCAUACCAGCACUAAUGCACCGGAUCCCAUCAGAACUUCGCAGUUAAGCGUGCUUGGGCGAGAGUAGUAUUCGGAUGGGUGACCUCCGGGGAAGUCCUCGUGUUGCACCCC
This 116-nucleotide ribosomal RNA is filed under the name Gossypium arboreum. The record is from RNAcentral. Lineage: Eukaryota; Viridiplantae; Streptophyta; Magnoliopsida; Malvales; Malvaceae.